UCUCUGUAGAAGCUAAUAUGUUAAAGCUUUAUUUCUCUAGAUUCUUUAAAAUAAAGUACUGAAUGAAAUCUCUGGUUGUGCGCGCGCUCUACGUGAACGCGCAUGACGCAAAAGCGUCAAGGUUACAGGGUCCAGUGGCGUCCAGGUUUAAAGGAAAAUGCUUAUGUUUAAAGGCAGUGGUCUGGAUGCUGGUGACCCCAUGACAUGAAACAUCUGGCAAACUCACAGGUGUGAACUACACACAGCUGAGGCUGACCA
Molecule: long non-coding RNA, 258 nt
Organism: Tachysurus vachellii
Lineage: Eukaryota; Metazoa; Chordata; Actinopteri; Siluriformes; Bagridae
Exons: 3
Source: RefSeq, a predicted model, not a curated record